RNAcentral lists this ribosomal RNA (204 nucleotides) under uncultured bacterium. RNAcentral's name for it is "partial 16S ribosomal RNA". It matches the Rfam family "Bacterial small subunit ribosomal RNA", at positions 1301 to 1500 of the family's 1533-position model. The record is from RNAcentral.
UAGGCUGCAACUCGACUGCACGAAGCUGGAAUCGCUAGUAAUCGCGGAUCAGCACGCCGCGGUGAAUACGUUCCCGGGCCUUGUACACACCGCCCGUCACACCAUGGAAGUCUGCAAUGCCCGAAGCCGGUGGCCUAACCACUUAUGUGGAAGGAGCCGUCUAAGGCAGGGCAGAUGACUGGGGUGAAGUCGUAACAAGGUACC